Long non-coding RNA from Cyprinus carpio carpio, 446 nucleotides. Lineage: Eukaryota; Metazoa; Chordata; Actinopteri; Cypriniformes; Cyprinidae. The record is from Ensembl.
CAAUUAGAGAAUGCGCCACUUGACAGAGUUGAAAGGUGUUGCGCGCAGAUGUUUCAUAUUCAAGGCUGGAUGGUGAAAAUUCGAGUUCUGAUUUAUAAUCUUUGACCUUGCAAAUCUGAAUGGGAUACUGUCGGCACAAAAGAAGCAGGAAGUACCGUGCAACGGGAGUGACACGGAUCGGCGCUGGAUACAGGGAACUCCAGAGGGUUAAUAGCUCGUUUAGAGAACCUUUUCAUGAUAUGCUAAUUUUUUGAGAUAGGAAUUUUGGGUUUUCAUGAGCUGUAUGCCAAAAUCAUCAGUAUUAAAACAAUAAAAGACCUGAAAUAUUUCAGUUGGUGUGCAAUGAAUCUAAAAUAUAUGAAAGUUUAAUUUUUAUCAUUACAUUAUGGAAAAUAAUGAACUUUUUCACAAUAUGCUAAUUUUUUGAGAAGGACCUGUAUAUAACA